AUUUCACCAGUGCCUAGAAAGUGCCUGGCACAUAAUAGUUGCUGAAAAGAAGAAUUCAGCUUAUCACAACCUCCUAAAUCUCCCAAUAAAUCACCUGAAGUAAAAACAGCAACUCAAAAGCCUUGGAAGAGGGCGCUUUUGUAUCCAGGUUCUUCUAAAGAUGAUGUGAUUGAGAAAGGGCACAUGUAUCUGUUAAUUCUUACUGCAUCCCCAUGAAGAAAGCAUUAUCAUCAUUUUUCAAGUGAUAAAACAAGUGAAAAGACAUAUAGUCAUGAGUUGACAGAAAAGUUGAAUUUUGAAAACUAUAUAUUGUUAUGGCUAGAGUAUUACAGUGAAAAAGUAGGAGAUGAGCUGAAAAGAUAAGUGAGGUUCAGAAUGCAAUUUCUUAUCUGUCAUAUUAAAGAAUCUGGAGAUUAUUCUCUAUGAACUC
RNAcentral lists this small RNA (430 nucleotides) under Pongo abelii (Sumatran orangutan). RNAcentral's name for it is "processed transcript". The record is from RNAcentral. Lineage: Eukaryota; Metazoa; Chordata; Mammalia; Primates; Hominidae.